UCUUAUGUUGUUGAAAAUAUUUAUGUGAUC
RNAcentral lists this non-coding RNA (30 nucleotides) under Rattus norvegicus (Norway rat). Lineage: Eukaryota; Metazoa; Chordata; Mammalia; Rodentia; Muridae. The record is from RNAcentral.